Molecule: non-coding RNA, 661 nt
Organism: Arachis ipaensis
Lineage: Eukaryota; Viridiplantae; Streptophyta; Magnoliopsida; Fabales; Fabaceae
Source: RefSeq, a predicted model, not a curated record
CCGUGGGAUAAAAUCCGUCGAAAAUAUCCGUCUGUAAUAACUAUUUUUCUAGUAGUGUCAAACCCAUCUUCAUGCUGAUGAGUAUGAGCAAGUGCCCAGCUUCUCUAUUUUCUCUCACACCCAAACAAGCCCUAUUUUCAACCACAUAAUGGAGCCUAAGUUAUUCCCUACCAACUACAACAAUAAUAUUGCAACUUUAUAUGGUCGAGGAGGAACUACUACAACACCCAAUUGGUUUCUUGCUUAGACCCUUUUUCAUGUGAUAGGAAAGUAUUGAAAGCUGUUUUCAGUCAGCUCACAAAUAUGGAAAGAAACAUACCUGAUAAUAAUAACGACAAUACAAAUAGUAUAAAAGGGUCACCAAGUUUAGGAGAAGGUAGUUCUGAGAGUUGCUUAUCUGAGAUUGGCAUGCCCAACUUUAUUAUUGAUGUGGUAGUCCCUGUAGGCUUUGUAAUUUGUUUAUAUAGUUUUUCCCAAAAUUAAUUUAUCCAUGUUCUUCAUAUAUGCCACAAGGAAGUGGAGAAAAUACGAAGAAUCAAUAGAAUUUUGGAGGAAGGGAAAAUUCUCAUUGGAAUUUUAAGUCAUUGUAGUGGGUAUCUAGGUUUCACCCAUUGUGUGCAUGUCCCAAUAUAUUAGGAAAACAGGACUUGUAAUUGAAACU